Molecule: ribosomal RNA, 450 nt
Filed under: uncultured bacterium
Lineage: Bacteria
Description: partial 16S ribosomal RNA
Rfam family: Bacterial small subunit ribosomal RNA
Source: RNAcentral
GUGGGGAAUAUUGGACAAUGGGCGAAAGCCUGAUCCAGCCAUGCCGCGUGUGUGAAGAAGGUCUUCGGAUUGUAAAGCACUUUAAGUUGGGAGGAAGGGCAGUAAGUUAAUACCUUGCUGUUUUGACGUUACCGACAGAAUAAGCACCGGCUAACUUCGUGCCAGCAGCCGCGGUAAUACGAAGGGAGCAAGCGUUAAUCGGAAUUACUGGGCGUAAAGCGCGCGUAGGUGGUUUUGUAAGUUGGAGAUGAAAUCCCCGGGCUCAACCUGGGAACUGCCUCCAAAACUGCAUGACUAGAGUACGGUAGAGGGUAGUGGAAUUUCCUGUGUAGCGGUGAAAUGCGUAGAUAUAGGAAGGAACACCAGUGGCGAAGGCGACUACCUGGACUGAUACUGACACUGAGGUGCGAAAGCGUGGGGAGCAAACAGGAUUAGAUACCCUUGUAGUCC